GCCUAGCUGGUUCAGUUGGUAGAACAUGCGACUCUUGAUCUUGGGGUCAUGAGUUCGAGUCCCACACUGGGUG
RNAcentral lists this transfer RNA (73 nucleotides) under Ailuropoda melanoleuca (giant panda). It matches the Rfam family "tRNA". Rfam says of the family: Transfer RNA (tRNA) molecules are approximately 80 nucleotides in length. The record is from Rfam by way of RNAcentral. Lineage: Eukaryota; Metazoa; Chordata; Mammalia; Carnivora; Ursidae.